AUGACCGAUGCAAAACUGCCGGAUGCACAAUAUGGCCUUGAAAAAGCGUUGACGUUUUCGCUGGCCGCUCAUGCCGGAGCGAACCGCGUUUGCGAGUUCGG
Molecule: regulatory RNA element, 101 nt
Organism: Ruegeria sp. ANG-S4
Lineage: Bacteria; Pseudomonadati; Pseudomonadota; Alphaproteobacteria; Rhodobacterales; Roseobacteraceae
Rfam family: Pyrrolysine insertion sequence mttB
Source: Rfam